UUAAGUGCCAUAACGAGCGCAACCCUUGUUGUCAGUUACUAACAGGUUCCACUGAGGACUCUGACAAGGCUGCCAUCGUAAGAUGUGAGGAAAGUGGGGAUGACGUCAAAUCAGCACGGCCCUUACGUCCGGGGCUACACACGUGUUACAAUGGGGGGUACAGAGGGCCGCUACCACGCGAGUGGAUGCCAAUCCCCAAAACCUCUCUCAGUUCGGAGUGGAGUUUGCAAACCGAGUCC
Molecule: ribosomal RNA, 239 nt
Filed under: bacterium enrichment culture DGGE gel band N1
Lineage: Bacteria
Also listed under: 1 other name
Description: partial 16S ribosomal RNA
Rfam family: Bacterial small subunit ribosomal RNA
Source: RNAcentral